AACAACAAUAAAAAAAAAUCUGAUAUCUCUCGAUUAAUAAAAUUUCCCUUCGGCAUUGUUACUAUAUAAUUCAGUAUAUUCGCAAAUAAAAUAUAAGCAUCAAUCAAUAUAUAUACAAAAAAAAUGGCCAAAUUUAUUGUUUAUAAAAUGUUCAUAUUUUUCUUGAUAUUAUGCUGUUUAUCUCAAGCGGUACCUGUUGAUCAAAUUGGUACCAAAAUUUUGACCAAUCUGAAGGGCGUAUCCCAACAAGCACUAAUGAUAAACCAAGUGAAUAGCAUCAUAGAUGUUACUUGUAAGGAUGGAUAUAUAUUAAUUAAUGGAAUAUGUGUGAAAAUUGCCAAAUGACUGUAUUAAUACUGUGCAUGAAAUUAUUUAUUUGUUAUUGUAAUAUGUAUGAAUAAAAUGUUAGUGUAA
This is a long non-coding RNA of Anthonomus grandis grandis, 414 nucleotides long. RefSeq lists it as uncharacterized. Lineage: Eukaryota; Metazoa; Arthropoda; Insecta; Coleoptera; Curculionidae. The transcript is spliced from 2 exons. The record is from RefSeq and is a predicted model, not a curated record.